GGGCGAGCCGCUGAGGCCAGGCUGACGUAGGGCCUUUGCCGAGAGCUGGACGGGGUGGGGAGGAGCCUGAGGAGCAGCGAGGAUUCACAUAGGUGGAGCGCGGACUGCUAGUCACGUGUUCGGCGUGAGGUUGCCUGGGGCGUGGGUGGGGCGCGCCGGCGCGCAGGCCCUCCCUGACUGACGCAGGCGCAGAGACCGCAGCGCGGGGCUGGGGGCGGAUCAGGCCUAGCGAGGGCCUCGCGCCUGGGCCGUGGGCGAGCCGUGGAGAGGCCCCGAGGUGUGGGAGUCCGUCCCCAGGCGGCAGUGGCGGCUCCUGGACGCUCCUUCCCAUUUUCUUUCCUUUCCCCCCAGUCUUCUCAGUGUGAUUUUCUUGACUCCGUUUUUUUGCUAAGAUUGACUUUGCCUCAGCAUCAACAAACUCUUCAUCUAAGAUUGGUUCCUGUGUGUCAUAUAUUUACAAGUCAGUGGAAAUUACAAGUCAGCACAUACAAGCUGAAAAGCCAAAUAAAGAAAUGUAAUCCUUCUCUUGACAGUUCUAAUUUAACUUGUAAGUUAAAUUUGGUGUUAGUUUAAAGUGGUUUAAAUGUGUAAUUACAGAACACAGUAUUACAGAUAAUCAGAGUAGUAAAUGAUUGAAAGUUUUCAGAACAUAUUUAAACAUACCACCUAAUAUUUAAUAUGGCUUAGUUGUGGAACGUGUGAAAAGCCCCACUACAUGUCUGUAGAACUCCUGUAGUGAAUGUACAUGAACAUUGCAGCAGUUCCUAAAUUGCAUUUUGCACACGACUAAGAAUUUGACUUGUAUGGCUUACAUUCAUGUUUUAAUGGUGAGUAUAUUUCCAAAGACAAGGAUCUGACUAGCGUGGGGAAUUGCAGAGCUGCUCUGCAUGCCAGAAUAAUUAUUUUCUCUCAUCACUGGAAGCAUUCCUGAGGCUUUUUUUUUUUUUUUUUUUUGCUAUCACUAGAGUCUGGAAUUUGAGUUAAGUCUCUCCACUGAUCAUGUUUAGAGGACAGAAACAAAAGUGACAGUUUCAUGCAGAUAAGGUUAUAGAUACGUAGCCUUUGAGUUUGCUGUUAAUUAUCAAUUUAUUCUUAACUAUUUGCAUAAUAUUAUACCUUUCAUUUUAGCUUUUUAAAAGUCUUCAAUAUGAAAAGUAUGUAAGAAUGAUCUUUUACAAUAUGCAUAUAAAAGACACAUAAGACAAAAAAAUGUCAUACCUUUGCCCUAUCAUUUGGGAAGUUAUUUAAGUGUUUUGUAAGCAAAUAUUUUAGCCUGCUUUCCUGUUGUGAGUUUUAUAAGAAACUUAUAAGUCUGUCUGCAUGUUCAUACAACUAAAAGGAAAUAUGAAGAAUAUUACUCAGCUUUUGUGAAUUGCAAGUAAAUAGCAUUCCAAAUAAUCCUUGUUUAUAUGGGUUAUAAACCAAGAAACAAUUUUCAUUACAGGAAAAGAACUACUACUCUGAUUUUGUGUGUGUGUGUGUGUGUGUGUGUGUGUUUGUGUGUGUGUUUUAAAGCCUCUAUGAUAAGGCAUUUUCUGAAUAAAGUGUUGCUUAUAGUUACAAAUUUCUAAAGUUUUGAUGAUUCAGUCUUGAGAUCGAAAAGAUUAAGAGGAUAUCUGUAAUAUUUGAGAAUUUGGGUUUAAGUACUUUUUAAAUGUCCCAUACAUUUGAAAGAUUUCUAAACAGUUUAUGUACAGUGGACAUGGUUAUUUUCAGUCCUGUUGGGACUUUAAGUCCGUUGAAAUUAGUAACCAAAUGUCUUUUUUGUUUUUAUGUUUUGAAAAGGGCUAAAGCCAGUUUUUAGGUUGACUUG
Molecule: long non-coding RNA, 1813 nt
Organism: Lynx canadensis (Canada lynx)
Lineage: Eukaryota; Metazoa; Chordata; Mammalia; Carnivora; Felidae
Source: Ensembl